GUCCACGCCGUAAACGAUGAAUGCUAGAUGUUGGGGGACCGUAGUUCCUCAGUGUCGCAGCUAACGCGAUAAGCAUUCCGCCUGGGGAGGUACGGCCGCAAGGUUAAAACUCAAAGGAAUUGACGGGGGCCCGGCACAAGCGGUGGAGCAUGUGGUUUAAUUCGACGCAACGCGAAGAACCUUACCAGCCCUUGACAUGGGAGUUUUGGGUUCCCGGAGACGGGAUCCUUCGGUUCGGCCGGGCUCCACACAGGUGCUGCAUGGCUGUCGU
Molecule: ribosomal RNA, 271 nt
Filed under: uncultured bacterium
Lineage: Bacteria
Description: partial 16S ribosomal RNA
Rfam family: Bacterial small subunit ribosomal RNA
Source: RNAcentral